This 246-nucleotide long non-coding RNA is filed under the name Nicotiana benthamiana. RNAcentral's name for it is "long non-coding RNA (NBEN_LNC016510)". Lineage: Eukaryota; Viridiplantae; Streptophyta; Magnoliopsida; Solanales; Solanaceae. The record is from RNAcentral.
GUUAUAGGAAAUCUAUAUUUGUAGCAACAUUUUAAAAAUAUAUAUGUAUAAUUCCAUCUAGUAACAACUUCGUCUGGCAUGAAUCUAGGUGUAAGUUUAUACUGCAUACACUUUGUUUUAAUUUCUUUUAUUCUAGAUUGUCAAUUAUUUCCCUGAAUAACACCAACUGCUCUUCUAACAUGAGUAAUCUCAACUGAAAAUAAAUCAAGGCCACUUUUAACAAUUAAAUUAUAAACAUGACAUGCA